This 517-nucleotide ribosomal RNA is filed under the name uncultured Staphylococcus sp. RNAcentral's name for it is "bacterial SSU rRNA". It matches the Rfam family "Bacterial small subunit ribosomal RNA", at positions 8 to 507 of the family's 1533-position model. The record is from RNAcentral. Lineage: Bacteria; Bacillati; Bacillota; Bacilli; Caryophanales; Staphylococcaceae.
AGAGUUUGAUCCUGGCUCAGGAUGAACGCUGGCGGCGUGCCUAAUACAUGCAAGUCGAGCGAACAGAUAAGGAGCUUGCUCCUUUGACGUUAGCGGCGGACGGGUGAGUAACACGUGGGUAACCUACCUAUAAGACUGGAAUAACUCCGGGAAACCGGGGCUAAUGCCGGAUAAUAUUUAGAACCGCAUGGUUCUAAAGUGAAAGAUGGUUUUGCUAUCACUUAUAGAUGGACCCGCGCCGUAUUAGCUAGUUGGUGGGGUAAUGGCUUACCAAGGCAACGAUACGUAGCCGACCUGAGAGGGUGAUCGGCCACACUGGAACUGAGACACGGUCCAGACUCCUACGGGAGGCAGCAGUAGGGAAUCUUCCGCAAUGGGCGGAAGCCUGACGGAGCAACGCCGCGUGAGUGAUGAAGGUCUUCGGAUCGUAAAACUCUGUUAUUAGGGAAGAACAAAUGUGUAAGUAACUGUGCACGUCUUGACGGUACCUAAUCAGAAAGCCACGGCUAACUACGUG